Cyprinus carpio (common carp) is the source of this 273-nucleotide long non-coding RNA. RefSeq lists it as uncharacterized. The transcript is spliced from 5 exons. The record is from RefSeq and is a predicted model, not a curated record. Lineage: Eukaryota; Metazoa; Chordata; Actinopteri; Cypriniformes; Cyprinidae.
UUUGAGGAUGAGCAAGACCAACAAGAACCAGUCAGGUAAAAAUCCUUGGUGAAGUCACCAGAUAUGGAUGGCGUGUAUGUUGUUCGACAUUGCAGCGUGCUGAUGAGUUAAUAAAGAGCGUGUAUGUUGUUCGACAUUGCAGCGUGCUGAUGAGUAUCGCUCUUCGGUUAAUAAAGAGGCAGCAAAAACCUGGGAUCUGCAUUGGCCCUGUCAAGUCUGGAGAGUGUUUUUACCGUUUAAUGAAUUAAAUUGCAAUAAAAGUUUUUAAAUGGA